CUCCUGCUGAGAACACAGAUGACUUUUCGCGCUGGUCGCGAGGUGAGACCCUCUCAGCAGAAUGCCCCCAAAGGCACGUGCGCGCAUGACGAAUUGAAAGCCAUUAUGAGCCAGGCACAUCUGUCCUGACACCUGACGAUGGAGAACUGUAGGUCCUGCACCGCCGCCGCCCCCGAUCAAGCGACGUGAAAUAGCAGCAGCUGAUCCUGCAAAUGAAAGCCAUCACCGCGACAGUAGGAUUCGAAUAGCUGAGGCAAUUUCGAACUUUUUACGACUCCGUGGACAUCGUUUCGCCCAAAGUCGCCACCUCCUCCCCCAACUACCCAACAUGCGUCUUCAGGCAGGCAGAACGGGAUUUUGUCAACAGAAAUGAUUUUGCAAUAACUGAGGACUAACCGAUAAACGUGAACAAGACCACCUGUGGCUGAAAUCUGGACAGACCUCUUUAUGAACCAGACAAAACCUGAUGUAGUCUACAGAAAGAGUAAAUAACACAGAGUAAAUUCAAUUAGGCUUUAAUGUAAACAGCUGAUUUUAGGGCAUUAAACGCUAACAAAUGUAUGAAAGGAACAAUUUAUUCAAUUUAAAUUAAACGUACACAUACAUCCAAAUAGGCAGCAAGAACUCUGAGGGGAAAUUAAUAAAGACCCACUGCUGAGACUGACAGGAACAAUGUUGUAAUACUAACUACUUGGCAGCUUCACAAAGAUCGCUUAAGUUACACCAGCCUGGAAACAAAAGCAUGUAUUGCUUCAGAGUUGCUACGGCUGAUAUGGGAAGGGGGUGGGGGGAGCCAGACUGGAAUUAAGUGAGGAUAAGGAUAGUUUGCAGACGUCAGACAUGCCCAUGAAUUCAGGGGUAGACCGAAAACACUUCUUUUGCAGAGUGGAUACACUGGAUGGAUUUUCCUCGUACAUGUGUGUAACGUACAAGAUGCACUUCAUUUAACAGUCUGUGAAGCAGGCGUACAAUAUGGUUUACAGGUGUUAAGAUAAAUGCUGGAUGUCACUCGCCCCCCUCUUUUCUCUCGACUAUAGCUGCCAGUUCA
Brienomyrus brachyistius is the source of this 1048-nucleotide long non-coding RNA. RefSeq lists it as uncharacterized. The transcript is spliced from 2 exons. The record is from RefSeq and is a predicted model, not a curated record. Lineage: Eukaryota; Metazoa; Chordata; Actinopteri; Osteoglossiformes; Mormyridae.